GUCUAUUGCCAUACUACCCUGAACGCGCCCAAUCUCGUCGCUCUCGGAAGCUAAUCAGAGUCGGGCCUGGUUACUACUUGGAUGGGAGACUAUCUGGGAAUAUUGCGUGCUGUGGGCU
Molecule: ribosomal RNA, 118 nt
Organism: Colobus angolensis palliatus
Lineage: Eukaryota; Metazoa; Chordata; Mammalia; Primates; Cercopithecidae
Source: Ensembl